AAGUACGUUGUAUAAACAGAUUUUGUAAUUUUGAAAACUGAGCUACAUCCCUCUAAUCUCUCGCCCAAAUCAGGAAAGGGAUUUUUUAAAAAUCCCUAUAAUCUCUCCCUUUAACCUCUCAGCUCACGUCAUUAAAGAAAAAUAACCAAAUAAAAUUACAAAUUGAUUACAGUUUCCAAAACAAAAUCCCUACAAUCUCUCACCUCUCACGUCAGGGAAAAAAAUCAAACAAAAUUAUAAAUUGAUUACAUUUUCUAAAACUACUAAUUAUCUUUUUCUCAUUCAUCAAAUCAUUGUAAACUGAGUUCCAUUAGAGAGUUCGUUGAUAGCAAGCUCCACCACCGCCAAUACAGGUUUUACGAUUUGAAGUUCACCACGCAUACAAUUACCAAUGACACAAGUUUCAUCCCGGGAAGAAUGUUGGAAUUGGCAAGGACCAUACAAUCUUUGCUCUAAUUGAUGGAUUAGUGAAAUUUGAGAAGUAUGGUCCUGACAAGAAAAAGGUGAGUGUUUAUCCACGAGAAAUAUAGCCUGAAAACCCCAACAGCUACAAAGCAAGAAGAGAAGGAUAUUCUUUUCAAUCACACCUAAUCCUGGCAUCUAAUGCCACUGAUAAUGCUGAUGAAAGUGUAAUCUGCUGAUAACCAAGUUUUUUUUAAAAGAUUUGCAUUCUACUUCCCUCUUUUUGGCUUGGUUUUCCAUCUAUCUUUUGUAACUAAGUUUUUCACCUCCUUUAAAGUUUACUUCCAAAGUCUAUGUAGAUCAUUUGCACCAAAAGCGAAUCUGUACUAUUUGUGAUAUAUAGCUAGCUAAAAUUAGUGAAAUCAAUCCUUAAACUAAACCCUAAAUAACCAACAAUUUUCACAAACCAGUAAUUUUCACAAACCAGUAAUUUUCUUAAACAAACCCUAUGAAAACCCAAUAAUUUUACCAAACACUUAAAGAUAAUGAGUAUACACCAUGAAACAAUCGAAAAAAAAAACAUAUAAAAUCAAAUGCAAAGUAUUU
Molecule: long non-coding RNA, 1008 nt
Organism: Spinacia oleracea (spinach)
Lineage: Eukaryota; Viridiplantae; Streptophyta; Magnoliopsida; Caryophyllales; Amaranthaceae
Exons: 4
Source: RefSeq, a predicted model, not a curated record